This 500-nucleotide ribosomal RNA is filed under the name uncultured archaeon. RNAcentral's name for it is "bacterial SSU rRNA". It matches the Rfam family "Archaeal small subunit ribosomal RNA", at positions 323 to 823 of the family's 1478-position model. The record is from RNAcentral.
CUACGGGGUGCAGCAGGCGCGAAAACUUUACAAUGCUGGCAACAGCGAUAAGGGAACCUCGAGUGCCAGGUUACAAAUCUGGCUGUCGAGAUGCCUAAAAAGCAUUUCAUAGCAAGGGCCGGGCAAGACCGGUGCCAGCCGCCGCGGUAACACCGGCGGCUCGAGUGGUAACCGUUAUUAUUGGGUCUAAAGGGUCUGUAGCCGGCCGGAUAAGUCUCUUGAGAAAUCUGGCAGCUUAACUGUCAGGCUUUCAGGAGAUACUGUCUGGCUCGAGGCCGGGAGAGGUGAGAGGUACUUCAGGGGUAGGGGUGAAAUCUUGUAAUCCUUGAAGGACCACCAGUGGCGAAGGCGUCUCACCAGAACGGACCUGACGGCAAGGGACGAAAGCUAGGGGCACGAACCGGAUUAGAUACCCGGGUAGUCCUAGCCGUAAACGAUACUCGCUAGGUGUCGGCCACGGUGCGACCGUUGUCGGUGCCGUAGGGAAGCCGUGAAGCGAG